GUGCUAGCUUGUGUGAAGACCUUCUCGAUGGUUGAUCUACUCCUCUUCAGAUCUCCCAGACUCUUUCAGAUCUAAAGAUGGAAUAUAGAGGAGGAUGUGGUGAUGGAAGAAGACAAAGAUGAGAACUCUCUUCUCUCUUUUCUUUCUUCCCAAAAUCCUGAAAUCAGAUCUAGGUUUUUACUCACCCAAGAAGAGAAAGAUAUCUUCUAAUCUCACACACCUAGGAUGGCCACCCACCACAAGACCUCACACCCC
Molecule: long non-coding RNA, 255 nt
Filed under: Elaeis guineensis (African oil palm)
Lineage: Eukaryota; Viridiplantae; Streptophyta; Magnoliopsida; Arecales; Arecaceae
Description: long non-coding RNA (EGUI_LNC068362)
Source: RNAcentral